UCUAUACAUGACUACUGGAAAAAACACAGCCUUGACUAGAUGGACCUUUGUGGACAAAGUAAUGUCUCAGCUUUUUAAUACUCUGUCUAGGUUGGUCAUAACUUUCCUUCCAAGGAGUCAGCACCACAAGCCAAUAAACUGAGAGACAAGUGGUUGGGGGCAAGAACAGUGACAUUAUUCAGAAAGCCAGCGGACCAAGAAGAUGGUGGACCAGUGUCCCAAAGCAUCAUCUUGCCCAGGUUUGGAUGCUAGUAUCUUUUCUAGAGCAAAGAGAGAGAAGUCAGGAGGUAAAGUAGACGAGGUGAUGUUUAGUCACUAAGUCGUGUCUUAAUAUUGUCUAAGCUAUAGGCAACAUCCCUUUAGGGAUUGCAUUCGAGCUUAGUCACUACUUCAUGUCCCACCCUUUGUGACCCCAUGGACUGCAGCCCUCCAGGCUCCUUCUGUCCAGGGGAUUUCUCAGGCAAGAAUACUGGAGUGGGUUGCCAUUUCCUUCUCUAGGGCAUCUUCCCAACCCAGGGAUCAAACCCUCCUGCAUUGGCAGGCAGGUUCUUUAGCACUGAGCCACCUGGGAAGCCCUAUUUACUGAUUAACUUGUAGAAAAAGCAAUAGCAUACAAACGUUAAAGUAAAAGAAAGGGAUCCAACAUGGAGUCAGGUUUGUUCUUCCCCAUCACACUCCCAGUGUAGCAGUUUCACAAUUCUUGUCUCUUUCACUUUGCCCUCAGCUUCUCCUCCCAGCCUUGUAACCUGAACCUCUGUUUGUACAAUAUCAAGGUUGAAGCAUUUAUGCUGUGUUCCUUAAACAAAUCAAGCCUCCUGUGAUUUGCCCACAGGUUGAUUCCACAUGUUCCAAGCCAGUAAACAGUGUUUACUAUCAUUACCAGGUAAAUAGUAUCCACCUAGAGCCAAGUGCUGAGCAUAGUGGUAAGAUUGCCCAGCCUCCUCAGUGGCUCCAACAUCACAACCAUGCCCCUCAAUGGAAAGUGUUUCUAUGGUUAAGUUCAAAUGGAUUCUCCUCCUCUGUGUUCUAUCAUGUAACCAAAAUAACAUUUAAUUUUAGUUUGCUUUUUACUUAGACGUACUUUUUUUUUUGAUUAUCAAAAUUUUAUAUUUUUACAAAUUUGUAUUGGAGUAUAGUUGGUUUACAAUGAUAUGUUAAUUUCAGGUGUAUGGCAAAGUGAAUCAGUUAUACAUACACAUAUAUCUCUUCUUUUUCAGAUUGUUUUCCCAUAUAAGUUAAUACAGAAAAUUGAAUAUAGUUCCCUGUGCUGCACAGUAGUGGACUAUAACUUUCCGAUGAUGGAAAUUUUUUUCUUGUAGUUUCUGAUUCCUUUCUCCUCUUUUCUUUUGCCUACGUGGGAUGAGGUUUUUGAUAUGUCAGCUUGUCUAGUCUAGAGUUCUGAUAUUCAAACUCUAAUCAAGGUGUUGCUGUGAAGAGCUUUUGGUGAUUAAAGGCCCCAAUCAGUUGAUUCUAAGUAAGGAGGAUUAAAGUGGAUGGGAUGAAGUUUCUCUCAAAGAAAAAGAAGACAUUUCUCUGGACCUGUGCACAACAGCUUCAGCCUGUGCCCAUGGUUUCAAGCCUGCCAUGAUGUUUUCUUCCUGAUAGCCUGGCCUAUGGGCUUGAGGCUUGUGUAGCCAAGCCCAUGAUCAACGUUUACAGUCUUGAGAUCACACAAGUAAAUGUAAAAUUACAUCUGUAGUGAGUGCAUCAAAGGAGUGGCACAAUAGUCUAUGACUGAAUGCGGGCUUGCUGACCAAGUCUGAGAGGGAACUUGUUCUCUCACCACUGAAGCAGUCCUUCUCACCAAGGACAGCGUGGGAACUCAGCUGAACUCACAGGAAGCGUGAGUCUACCGUGAUUUCUUCGGGUACUGUUGAGUCAGCGAGGAAAAAGGAAACAGAACUGACAAGGGGAGGAGCCUCCCUGGGGUCACUGAAAACAGUCAAGAGAGAAAUGGCUGGUUUCACCGACACAUUCUUUCCUUCCUGAGAAACCGAGGUUCGCCAGCGGAAUGCAGUCCUCAAUCCCUUUUGAUCUCGGAGGGCCUUUGAAACGCGCACGUAAUUACAAAUAGGCUUUGGGUGGCAUGUGGAAAUGCUUAGGUAGCGUCACCUUUGGAAAAGUGCUGGUGUCCUCCUUCCACAGAUCUCAAUUCAAAAGCCGAAUUCCUUUCCUGCAAAAAGUUUUGUAUUUUUUCCAUUUUCCGUAAUGAACUUUGUGUUUCCAUUGCUAACUACCAUUUAUAGUCUGGCCUGCACAAUGAGAUGACUAUCAAUGCAUAAAUAAAUACAUGUGAACUACUAACAGGUGUCUCUAGAAACUAAGGUCCCUUUCCACAAUUCAUCUGAGAACUACAGUAUAGGCAAAAAUAGUAACACACAGAACCUUGAUCAGCUGUGGGUAUAUCCAAAUAGCCAAAAUGCAGCUGUGGGGGGAUUAGGCCACAUGUGCUAAAUCCUUUCUUUAUAAUUGUAUUCAAGUGCAAGACAGAAGAGAUAAAAUAAAUGAAGGCAUUUACAUAUUUCCUAAAACUACAAAGUCUGUGCCAAUACUUCAGAGAUACAUUUUAUUACUUUGCAUAUAUAUUUGUAAAUAUGGAAUUUUUUUAACUGUUAAAAAUUAUACCAGUCAUUCCUAAAGGAAAUGUACCCUGAUUAUUCAUUGGAAGGACUGAUACUGAUGCUGAAGCU
Long non-coding RNA from Bubalus bubalis (water buffalo), 2690 nucleotides. RefSeq lists it as uncharacterized. The record is from RefSeq and is a predicted model, not a curated record. Lineage: Eukaryota; Metazoa; Chordata; Mammalia; Artiodactyla; Bovidae. The transcript has 3 exons.